Ornithorhynchus anatinus (platypus) is the source of this 137-nucleotide non-coding RNA. NCBI's taxonomy places the organism in Eukaryota, Metazoa, Chordata, Mammalia, Monotremata, Ornithorhynchidae. The record is from Rfam.
UCCCCCUCAAGGUCGCACCUGGAGAGUUUCCAGUGUUCUUCCAGUCUCGACUAUGGGAGGGAGAGUCAAGCAGAGACAUACCUUUCCGUUUCUAGCUUGGGCAAUGGCUAGCAAGUGGAAGACAAUCUGCUAUAAGU